GACUCUCAUCAGAUGCGCCCCUGUCCCUAUACCCCUAGGCAGUCAUCGCUCAACAGGAUAGCUACGUGGAGAUGCAGCGAAUGGCCAUCCAGGAGCGUGAGAAGCAGUUCCGGCUGCAAUCAACGCGUGGGAACCUGCUUCUAGAGCAAGAGCGGCAACGCAACUUUGAGAAGCAGCGUGAGGAGCGCGCGGGUGUGGAGAAGCUGCAAAACCAGCUGCGCCAGGAGCAGCAGCGAUGGGAGCGGGAGCGGGCACGCCAGCAGCAGGAACUGGAGCUGGCAGGCGCGCGACUGCAGGAGAGAGAGGGCGAGGCGCGCCAGCUGCGCCAGCGGCUGGACCAGGAGCGCACAGAGCUGGAGAGACAGCGCCAGGCCUACCAGCAUGAUCUGGAGCGUCUGCGCGAGGCCCAGAGAGCAGUGGACCGUGAACGUGAGCGCCUGGAACUACUGCGCAGGUUCAAGAAACAGAACACUGUACCGGGGGCACUGCCCCCGGAAGUGCUGGCAGAGGUUAGUGGACCUGUAUAGCCAAACUCACUCAGCUGCAAGUGUGGCUCUGUUUUGUGCUUGCCUAGUGUACAUGAAGACCCUAGUUCCAACCCCAGCACGGUACUAAAAAAACAAAACAAAA
RNAcentral lists this long non-coding RNA (630 nucleotides) under Rattus norvegicus (Norway rat). RNAcentral's name for it is "long non-coding RNA NONRATT007210". The record is from RNAcentral. Lineage: Eukaryota; Metazoa; Chordata; Mammalia; Rodentia; Muridae.